GACGAACGCUGGCGGCGUGCCUAAUACAUGCAAGUAGAACGCACAGUUUAUACCUUAGCUUGCUACACCAUAGACUGUGAGUUGCGAACGGGUGAGUAACGCGUAGGUAACCUGCCUGGUAGCGGGGGAUAACUAUUGGAAACGAUAGCUAAUACCGCAUAAUAUUGAUUAUUGCAUGAUAAUUGAUUGAAAGAUGCUAUUGCAUCACUACCAGAUGGACCUGCGUUGUAUUAGCUAGUAGGUGAGGUAACGGCUCACCUAGGCGACGAUACAUAGCCGACCUGAGAGGGUGAUCGGCCACACUGGGACUGAGACACGGCCCAGACUCCUACGGGAGGCAGCAGUAGGGAAACUUCGGCAAUGGACGAAAGUCUGACCGAGCAACGCCGCGUGAGUGAAGAAGGGUUUCGGAUCGGAAAGCUCUGUUGUAAGAGAAGAACGGGUGUGAGAGUGGAAAGUUCACACUGUGACGGUAUCUUACCAGAAAGGGACGGCUAACUACGUG
This 505-nucleotide ribosomal RNA is filed under the name uncultured bacterium. RNAcentral's name for it is "partial 16S ribosomal RNA". It matches the Rfam family "Bacterial small subunit ribosomal RNA", at positions 28 to 507 of the family's 1533-position model. The record is from RNAcentral.